Molecule: ribosomal RNA, 492 nt
Filed under: uncultured bacterium
Lineage: Bacteria
Description: partial 16S ribosomal RNA
Rfam family: Bacterial small subunit ribosomal RNA
Source: RNAcentral
AGUGAACGCUGGCGGUAGGCCUAACACAUGCAAGUCGAACGGCAGCACAGUAAGAGCUUGCUCUUACGGGUGGCGAGUGGCGGACGGGUGAGGAAUACAUCGGAAUCUACUUUUUCGUGGGGGAUAACGUAGGGAAACUUACGCUAAUACCGCAUACGACCUACGGGUGAAAGCAGGGGAUCUUCGGACCUUGCGCGAUUGAAUGAGCCGAUGUCGGAUUAGCUAGUUGGCGGGGUAAAGGCCCACCAAGGCGACGAUCCGUAGCUGGUCUGAGAGGAUGAUCAGCCACACUGGAACUGAGACACGGUCCAGACCCCUACGGGAGGCAGCAGUGGGGAAUAUUGGACAAUGGGCGCAAGCCUGAUCCAGCCAUACCGCGUGGGUGAAGAAGGCCUUCGGGUCGUAAAGCCCUUUUGUUGGGAAAGAAAAGCAGCAGGUUAAUACCCCGCUGUUCUGACGGUACCCAAAGAAUAAGCACCGGCUAACUUCGUG